Onychomys torridus (southern grasshopper mouse) is the source of this 195-nucleotide small nuclear RNA. RefSeq annotates it as U2 spliceosomal RNA. The record is from RefSeq and is a predicted model, not a curated record. NCBI's taxonomy places the organism in Eukaryota, Metazoa, Chordata, Mammalia, Rodentia, Cricetidae. The transcript has a single exon.
AUCGCUUCUUGGCCUUUUGGCUAAGAUCAAGUGUAGUUAAUAUCUGUUUUUAUCCAUUUAAUAUCUCAUACAUCCUCUAUCUGAAGACAAUAUAUUAAAUGGAUUUUUAGAAGUCGGAGUUGGAACAGGAGCUUGCUCCAUCCACUCCACGAAUUGACCUGGUAUUGCAUUAUCUCCAGAAAUGGUACAUACAGC